RNAcentral lists this long non-coding RNA (2723 nucleotides) under Anthonomus grandis grandis. Its description in RNAcentral is "uncharacterized LOC126735363". Lineage: Eukaryota; Metazoa; Arthropoda; Insecta; Coleoptera; Curculionidae. The record is from RNAcentral.
GCCUACUAAUGGUACGUUGGUGCAAUACAACCUGUUAACCAACAACCAACAUUAUGACUAAAUAGGUUAUUUGUAGCAAAUAGCCGAUCCCUUACAAGGUGAUCCAGGCUCAGUGUCAAAAUCAAUUAUGUCGAUGUUCGACUCAAAUGAAAACCUUUAGGUUAAUAUUAAUAGACUUAGCAAGAACCUCUUAACGUUGUUGUUUUACAUAAAAGAAAAUAAACCCAUAAAAUUUAAAUUAAUAAAUCAACCCCCAAGCCUAAAUCAAACCGUUCAAUAAGAGAAAAAUAAAAUAAAAUGUGCAAAAACUUGCGUGUCAUCUAAUCUCUUGUGUAUUUUGGCUAAGCUAGCUUAACUCGACAGCUCUGGAACCAGUCAGCUACAACCAGGGUAACGACCACAUGGGCAAGUCGAUUUCAGGCAAGUUUCAAUCCAAAAUCGCAGAGCCACAGUACAAUGCUCAGUCCAGGCUGUGUUGAGGCUCACUUCAGCCGGUUGCCAACAGUGUUGGGAUGACCAGAAGAAACCAGAGAAUAGGAAGAGACCAGAGAACAGAGGAGAGAAUGAGAAAAAGGAGAGGAUGAGAAAAAGGAGAGGCCUCUAAAAUAGAGGACAAAAAAAAAUCAGUAAAAUAAACACACAAUCAAUUCUAUGGCAAUUACCAACAUGUUGCUACAUACCUAAGGUGGUGAGCGAGGCCUAGAGUCUCGUUUUGUGGUUAGAAAAUUUCAAAAUCCCAUAAAUAGUGUGGGAGCAGCCGAUCAAAUCCAAAAAUAUAAGGUCAAUCCGAAAUCCUCUCGGCUACAACUUCCCACUAGACGUUCAUCAAAUUAAACCACAAAACUUGGAAGGAAUAUUUUUCCAUUCAACCGAAUUUUUGGCAAAAUGAACUUAAAUUUUCCUUAAAACCACAAAAUGUCGAAUGUUCUUUCUGAUAACAGGAUGGCUACAGGAUGAACAAGGAACUGACAACUCCCAGACAGUGACAGGUGACACUAGCAGUGAACUUGUCACUCUCUUUCUUCGACACGAUCUGACACUGCCUCUUGGUGUAAACUACGCGGAGCCUCACUCUAUCAAAAUAGAAAUUCCGCAAUACCACAGCAAAAUGAUACUGCUCGGAUACUAAAACAUGGAACUAAACAUGGAACAAAAUUUUCCCAACAUGGCUACGAAAUUCCAAUUUUCCUCUUACGUCGCUCUGCCUGAUUUAUGCCGCUCCGUCAUCCGCCAAAUGGAAACCAAACUUUAAUGGGAAACAGCAACGCUGCCAACCCUCCACAACAACAAGUGUGUCAAUAGUCAUUACUGUCAAUCACAGUCACUGUCAAUCGGCUAGUUUUAUUUACUAAAACGUAACUUGAAGAAUUGAAGGGAAAUAUAGCAAGAAAAACUGGGGAGGCCAAUUUCAAAUCAAUUAGGAUACCUUGCCCAACAUGAUUCCGCUAUAGAAGAAAGUAUUUCGCAAUCUGUGGCACAACAGCACCCUCUAGAAGUCCCUCCAUACCCCAGACAUAUACCGGUCUUAUAGAAACUGUUGACAAACAAACCAAAGGUCAGAAAGUUCCCAACACCAGGUACAUGAAUAGGGACUAAGGAAACAUAAUACAACUAACUCCACCGAGGUGUGCUGACAGGAUAGGGAAGGUUUCUUGCAACUGGAACUACUUAUAAACAUUUGGCACAUGAAUUUAGGAUUGGAUAUUCAACAGUCUCGAUAAUAAUAAAAGAAACAUGUUCAAUUGUUUGGGAAGAACUUGUAGAAACUCACAUGCCAAUUUGCACCCAACAGCAAUUGGAGAAAAUCAUUGACGAAUAUAAUACCCUGUGGAACUUCCCAAAUUGUUUCGGAUCGAUUGACGGGAAGCAUUGUCGUAUUAGAUGUCCACCUAAUAGUGGUACAACCUAUUUUAACUAUUUAAAAUACUAUUCAAUCGGAUUUCAAGGGGUUGCAGAUGCCAACAAAAAAUUUAUUACUAUUGAAGUGGGUUCACGUGGAUCGGAAAGUGAUGGGGGAGUAUUUCAAUCCUCGGCACCUUACAGUUUGUUGGACACCAAUCAAUUCAAUGUACCUCCAGAUCAAGCUCUGCCGAAUUCCAAUAGUGUGCUACCAAAUGUUCUGAUAGGGGAUGAGGCAUAUGCUUUAAAGAAAUAUUUGAUGAGGCCUUAUCCGCGCCUAAGAAAUGCAGUGUUAGAAAAUGAUAAGAAAGUCUUUAACGAUCGCUUAUCACGAGCUCGAAAAUGCAUUGAAAAUGCAUUUGGAAUCUUAUAUCAGAAGUUCCGCAUUUUUGAUACAAACAUUUUACUAAAACGAGAAACCGCUAUAAUUGUAAUCAAAUGCGCGUGCAUCUUACACAACUUAAUUCGUGACUUUGAUGAGAAUUCUGACUUGGAUUAUGUUUAUGUAGAAAAUGCUGCUAAUGCAAGGCAAGGCAAUGUAAAUAAUUUAAAUGUAAAAAACAACAGAGCCUCUAAACUUGCUGCAGGAAUUCGAGAUUCAUUUAAGGACUAUUUUAGUAACAACCCUCUUUAGAUAAGUAAAAAAUUAUUUGAAUUUUUUUUUUAAUUUUAAAAACUAACACAACUAGCGCCAUCUGUCAAAAACAUAAAAACUGUAUGCAUAAUUUUAUUUUUCUUUUUAAAUAAAUUGUGUUCUAAAUUUCAUGUAAAUAUGUCAUUUGGCUCCAGACCUAUGAGAAAAAAGCGAUAGAAUAGAAUAUUAC